UACAGAGGGGGCAAGCGUUAUUCGGAAUUAUUGGGCGUAAAGGGCGCGUAGGCGGUUUGUCGCGUCUGCCGUGAAAGUCCGGGGCUCAACUCCGGAUCUGCGGUGGGUACGGGCAGACUAGAGUGAUGUAGGGGAGACUGGAAUUCCUGGUGUAGCGGUGAAAUGCGCAGAUAUCAGGAGGAACACCGAUGGCGAAGGCAGGUCUCUGGGCAUUAACUGACGCUGAGGAGCGAAAGCAUGGGGAGCGAACAGG
Molecule: ribosomal RNA, 253 nt
Filed under: uncultured bacterium
Lineage: Bacteria
Description: partial 16S ribosomal RNA
Rfam family: Bacterial small subunit ribosomal RNA
Source: RNAcentral